Molecule: ribosomal RNA, 274 nt
Filed under: uncultured bacterium
Lineage: Bacteria
Description: partial 16S ribosomal RNA
Rfam family: Bacterial small subunit ribosomal RNA
Source: RNAcentral
AUACAGAGGGUGCGAGCGUUAAUCGGAAUUACUGGGCGUAAAGCGCGCGUAGGCGGUCUAUUAAGUCAGAUGUGAAAUCCCAGGGCUCAACCUUGGAACUGCAUCUGAUACUGGUAGACUAGCGUUUUGGAGAGGGAAGUAGAAUUUCAGGUGUAGCGGUGAAAUGCAUAGAGAUCUGAAGGAAUACCAGUGGCGAAGGCGACUUCCUGGCCAAAAACUGACGCUGAGGUGCGAAAGCGUGGGUAGCAAACGGGAUUAGAAACCCUAGUAGUCC